AUGAUCACCUUGCACAACAUGAACAGCCAUCAGUCUUGCCCUAUGUGCCAAACUCCUAGGUACAUGCACCCCAAACUUCUUCUUAGUAUGUUUGAGAAUUGUCUCUACAUCAGCCUUUACAUUUUAUCUAACUGUGUCCUCCACAGCUUCUGCAACCCAUUCAGUAGUAACCUUUGUACUCUCUCCACAAGCUCCACAACUAUAAUCCAUGUGGCACUUCUUGAUUGUGAAUGUAUCUUCAUGGGCUACUUUGGAUGUAGUCGUGAAAAAUUCACAUCCAUUCUUCUUCUCUGGGCACCAAACAAUAAUCCUUAA
Molecule: ribosomal RNA, 315 nt
Filed under: Triticum aestivum (bread wheat)
Lineage: Eukaryota; Viridiplantae; Streptophyta; Magnoliopsida; Poales; Poaceae
Description: partial small subunit ribosomal RNA
Source: RNAcentral